GACGAACGCUGGCGGCGUGCCUAAUACAUGCAAGUUGAGCGCUGAAGGUUGGUACUUGUACCAACUGGAUGAGCAGCGAACGGGUGAGUAACGCGUGGGGAAUCUGCCUUUGAGCGGGGGACAACAUUUGGAAACGAAUGCUAAUACCGCAUAAAAACUUUAAACACAAGUUUUAAGUUUGAAAGAUGCAAUUGCAUCACUCAAAGAUGAUCCCACGUUGUAUUAGCUAGUUGGUGAGGUAAAGGCUCACCAAGGCGAUGAUACAUAGCCGACCUGAGAGGGUGAGCGGCCACAUUGGGACUGAGACACGGCCCAAACUCCUACGGGAGGCAGCAGUAGGGAAUCUUCGGCAAUGGACGAAAGUCUGACCGAGCAACGCCGCGUGAGUGAAGAAGGGUUUCGGAUCGUAAAACUCUGUUGGUAGAGAAGAACGUUGGUGAGAGUGGAAAGCUCAUCAAGUGACGGUAACUACCCAGAAAGGGACGGCUAACUACGUG
Molecule: ribosomal RNA, 497 nt
Filed under: uncultured bacterium
Lineage: Bacteria
Description: partial 16S ribosomal RNA
Rfam family: Bacterial small subunit ribosomal RNA
Source: RNAcentral